Manihot esculenta (cassava) is the source of this 187-nucleotide RNA transcript. RefSeq lists it as uncharacterized. Lineage: Eukaryota; Viridiplantae; Streptophyta; Magnoliopsida; Malpighiales; Euphorbiaceae. The transcript is spliced from 2 exons. The record is from RefSeq and is a predicted model, not a curated record.
AGAAUUCUGGCUCUCAUUUUCUCCAUCUUUCUACUAUAAAACUCCCAAUCUUUUCUAGACAAAUGGAGAUCUCUAGCUUAGGUGUAGAAGAAAACAUUCAGUGGGCUCCUUAUCCCAUUUGUCCUAUGUUUUGCAGGUCUCACCAGCUAAAAGCCUAAAACAGAUGGUGAGAAACCACCUAACACUC